This 253-nucleotide ribosomal RNA is filed under the name uncultured bacterium. Its description in RNAcentral is "partial 16S ribosomal RNA". It matches the Rfam family "Bacterial small subunit ribosomal RNA", at positions 524 to 776 of the family's 1533-position model. The record is from RNAcentral.
UACGUAGGUGGCAAGCGUUGUCCGGAUUUAUUGGGCUUAAAGGGUGCGUAGGCGGUCUAUUAAGUCAGUGCUGAAAUAUCCCGGCUUAACCGGGAGGGUGGCAUUGAUACUGAUGGACUUGAGUAAAGUUGAGGUUGGCGGAAUUGACGGUGUAGCGGUGAAAUGCUUAGAUAUCGUCAAGAACACCUAUUGCGAAGGCAGCUAACUAAGCUUAAACUGACGCUGAGGCACGAAAGUGUGGGGAUCAAACAGG